GUAAAGUACUCAGCACAGCGCCCUGUGCACAGCUCGCCCUUAAGAACUACUGGCCCUACACCCAUGGCUGAUUCAUGUUAAUGUAUGGCAAAAACCACUACAAUAUUGUAAAGUAAUGAACGUCCAAUUUAAAACAAACAAGAAUUACUGGCCCUGAGUGGAGGAAGCGUGCAGGAGUCUGCUGCCAUCUGGCGACAACUAUCAGUUUUCCACUGAAGUGUAAAUGUAAAUGAAAGGCCACAUUUGACCUCCAUGUAUUGUGCAAGUGGCGUUUUCAUUGCAGUGCUUUUGGAGUAGCUGUAUGUAGAUCUCCACAGAUUUCUGUCUUGUAGGACGAGUAGGAAAGCUCCUCCUGACCCCCUAGGAAGGUUCUUGGCUAUGGAAGCUGCUUUUGGAGACCACUGCCACCUACUGGCCACCUUGCAUACUUGCAGCCAAGGUGAGCAUCUUGAAUUAAAUGGAAAACGUUGAGAAUACUGAGAGGAAUUCCACCAACCCCACGAUCUGAUUCUGCAACUUUCAAGUUCAUCUUGGGAAGUUCCUUCCUAAAUCUCUCCUUGAAAGUUCCUUCCUAAAUAUCUCCUUGCUUCAAGUUCCACCCACUCCCUGGCGCUACACAGCCUGAGUGCCCAGCAGCCCUGCCCACCGAAUCUGUUCUGUUUGCCUGAACUCACCUGGCGCUGCCUGAUGCCCUCAGCCGUUAGUAGUGAUGGAUGGAAAGAGGACCAGGGUGCUUAAUCAAUGGAUGAUGACAAUUCUUCUGCUCUUGGUUCCUGGGGGAACCUCAAGGACAGCAAGAUUUCUUCAUUAGCUGGUGGCUGAAUGUUGGCCUGAAGAACUCCUCUUUUCAACCUCAGGCUGCGUGGCCACCUUGGUUCCUUUGCCUGGACUUUUCUUCCAGUUCCUUGAGUCCCCCAUCCUUUUGUUUUUUGCCACGGCUUUCAUUGUGGUAUAACUUACAUACCAUUAGAUGUACUCAUUUCCAAGUGUUCGAUUCAAAGAUUUUUAGUAAACGUUGUGCAACUAUCACAAUUCAAUUUUAGCACCUUUUGAUCACCCAUUUGCAGUCACGUCUGGUUCCUUUUUGGCAAUGGGAAGCCUGGGUCAUCCUUUCCCACUAUCUCCUGGGAGAGCUGAUCCCAAAGGAAAGAGCCCAGAAGGAGUUCAUUCAAAUAAAGAAACUUUAUCAGAAUGAAGUGGCUGCCACCAAAACUCUGCUCUCCCCCAAGACUCCAGCCCCUGUCAUGGCUUUGGCCUUGGUUCACAAGAGCCUGCAGGAGGAGGUGUGGUAAGGUCACCCAGACCCCCACACAGCAUCAGAU
Bos taurus (domestic cattle) is the source of this 1322-nucleotide long non-coding RNA. Lineage: Eukaryota; Metazoa; Chordata; Mammalia; Artiodactyla; Bovidae. The record is from Ensembl.